GCAGAGAUGGCUGAGCUGGUCUAAGGCGCACGACUGGAAAUCGUGUUUACGGGGAACCGUAACAAGGGUUCGAAUCCCUUUCUCUGCGCCA
RNAcentral lists this transfer RNA (91 nucleotides) under Clostridium sp. RNAcentral describes it as "tRNA-Ser". It matches the Rfam family "tRNA". Rfam says of the family: Transfer RNA (tRNA) molecules are approximately 80 nucleotides in length. Their secondary structure includes four short double-helical elements and three loops (D, anti-codon, and T loops). RNAcentral also lists the same sequence under 5 other names. Lineage: Bacteria; Bacillati; Bacillota; Clostridia; Eubacteriales; Clostridiaceae. The record is from RNAcentral.